AACGCGAAGAACCUUACCAGCCCUUGACAUGCCCGGUAUGGGCCCGAGAGAUCGGGUUCUUCGGUUCGGCCGGCCGGGACACAGGUGCUGCAUGGCUGUCGUCAGCUCGUGUCGUGAGAUGUUGGGUUAAGUCCCGCAACGAGCGCAACCCUCAUCUGCAGUUGCCAGCGGGUUAUGCCGGGCACUCUGCAGAAACUGCCGGUGACAAGCCGGAGGAAGGCGGGGAUGACGUCAAGUCCUCAUGGCCCUUAUGGGCUGGGCUACACACGUGCUACAAUGGCGGUGACAGAGGGCGGCAACGGGGCGACCCGGCGCCAAUCUCGAAAAGCCGUCUCAGUUCGGAUUGCUCUCUGCAACUCGAGAGCAUGAAGUCGGAAUCGCUAGUAAUCGCGGAUCAGCACGCCGCGGUGAAUACGUUCCCGGGCCUUGGUACACACCGUAGAGAC
Molecule: ribosomal RNA, 446 nt
Filed under: uncultured bacterium
Lineage: Bacteria
Description: bacterial SSU rRNA
Rfam family: Bacterial small subunit ribosomal RNA
Source: RNAcentral